Molecule: ribosomal RNA, 922 nt
Filed under: uncultured Bacillota bacterium
Lineage: Bacteria; Bacillati; Bacillota
Description: bacterial SSU rRNA
Rfam family: Bacterial small subunit ribosomal RNA
Source: RNAcentral
GGAUCCAGACUUUGAUCCUGGCUCAGGAUGAACGCUAGCUACAGGCUUAACACAUGCAAGUCGAGGGGCAGCGGGAUUGAAGCUUGCUUCAAUUGCCGGCGACCGGCGCACGGGUGAGUAACGCGUAUCCAACCUUCCGUACACUCAGGGAUAGCCUUUCGAAAGAAAGAUUAAUACCUGAUGGUAUGAUGAGAUUGCAUGAUAGCAUCAUUAAAGAUUUAUCGGUGUACGAUGGGGAUGCGUUCCAUUAGGUAGUAGGCGGGGUAACGGCCCACCUAGCCAACGAUGGAUAGGGGUUCUGAGAGGAAGGUCCCCCACAUUGGAACUGAGACACGGUCCAAACUCCUACGGGAGGCAGCAGUGAGGAAUAUUGGUCAAUGGACGAGAGUCUGAACCAGCCAAGUAGCGUGAAGGAUGAAGGUCCUACGGAUUGUAAACUUCUUUUAUAAGGGAAUAAACCCUCCCACGUGUGGGAGCUUGUAUGUACCUUAUGGAUAAGCAUCGGCUAACUCCGUGCCAGCAGCCGCGGUAAUACGGAGGAUGCGAGCGUUAUCCGGAUUUAUUGGGUUUAAAGGGAGCGCAGACGGGUCGUUAAGUCAGCUGUGAAAGUUUGGGGCUCAACCUUAAAAUUGCAGUUGAUACUGGCGUCCUUGAGUGCGGUUGAGGUGUGCGGAAUUCGUGGUGUAGCGGUGAAAUGCUUAGAUAUCACGAAGAACUCCGAUUGCGAAGGCAGCACACUAAUCCGUAACUGACGCUCAUGCUCGAAAGUGUGGGUAUCAAACAGGAUUAGAUACCCUGGUAGUCCACACGGUAAACGAUGGAUACUCGCUGUUGGCGAUAUACUGUCAGCGGCUUAGCGAAAGCGUUAAGUAUCCCACCUGGGGAGUACGCCGGCAACGGUGCAACUCAAAGGAAUUGACGG